RNAcentral lists this transfer RNA (64 nucleotides) under Mekongiana xiangchengensis. RNAcentral's name for it is "tRNA-Phe". The record is from RNAcentral. Lineage: Eukaryota; Metazoa; Arthropoda; Insecta; Orthoptera; Pyrgomorphidae.
UUUCAGAUAGCUUAAUUAAGAGCAUGACAUUGAAGAUGUCAGGGUAACUUUAUGUUUUUGAGUA